UCGAACGAGAUCUUCGGAUCUAGUGGCGCACGGGUGCGUAACGCGUGGGAAUCUGCCCUUGGGUGCGGAAUAACUUCUCGAAAGGGAUGCUAAUACCGCAUAAUGUCGUAAGACCAAAGAUUUAUCGCCCAAGGAUGAGCCCGCGUAAGAUUAGCUAGUUGGUGGGGUAAAAGCCUACCAAGGCGACGAUCUUUAGCUGGUCUGAGAGGAUGAUCAGCCACACUGGGACUGAGACACGGCCCAGACUCCUACGGGAGGCAGCAGUGGGGAAUAUUGGACAAUGGGCGAAAGCCUGAUCCAGCAAUGCCGCGUGAGUGAUGAAGGCCCUAGGGUUGUAAAGCUCUUUUACCCGGGAUGAUAAUGACAGUACCGGGAGAAUAAGCUCCGGCUAACUUCGUGCCAGCAGCCGCGGUAAUACGAGGGGAGCUAGCGUUGUUCGGAAUUACUGGGCGUAAAGCGCGCGUAGGCGGCUUUUUAAGUCAGAGGUGAAAGCCCGGGGCUCAACCCCGGAAUUGCCUUUGAAACUGGAAAGCUAGAAUCUUGGAGAGGUCAGUGGAAUUCCGAGUGUAGAGGUGAAAUUCG
This 582-nucleotide ribosomal RNA is filed under the name Sphingopyxis alaskensis. RNAcentral describes it as "bacterial SSU rRNA". It matches the Rfam family "Bacterial small subunit ribosomal RNA", at positions 62 to 690 of the family's 1533-position model. The record is from RNAcentral. Lineage: Bacteria; Pseudomonadati; Pseudomonadota; Alphaproteobacteria; Sphingomonadales; Sphingopyxidaceae.